Rhizopogon vinicolor AM-OR11-026 is the source of this 74-nucleotide non-coding RNA. Lineage: Eukaryota; Fungi; Basidiomycota; Agaricomycetes; Boletales; Rhizopogonaceae. The record is from the annotation of a GenBank genome assembly.
GGUCUGAUGGCGUAGUUGGUUAUCGCAUCUGUCUAACACACAGAAGGUCCUCAGUUCGAGCCUGGGUCAGAUCA